Molecule: non-coding RNA, 842 nt
Organism: Artibeus jamaicensis (Jamaican fruit-eating bat)
Lineage: Eukaryota; Metazoa; Chordata; Mammalia; Chiroptera; Phyllostomidae
Source: the annotation of a RefSeq genome assembly
AGCUGGGAAGACAGAGCUCCAGCUCCUGGCACCCAGCUCUGCUCUACACACCAUGGCCUGGACCCCCGUGCUCCUCCUCGUGCUCCUCUCUCACUGCACAGGUUCCCUGUCCCAGCCUGUGGUGACUCAGCCGCCCUCCCUCUCUGCAUCUCUGGGAGCCACAGCCAGACUCACCUGCACCCUCAGCAGUGGCUUCAGUGUUGCUGACUACGACAUACGCUGGUUCCAGCAGAAGCCAGGGAGCCCUCCCCGGUACCUCCUGAGGUACAAAUCAGACUCAAACAAGUACCAGGGCUCCGGGGUCCCCAGCCGCUUCUCUGGAUCCAAAGACACCUCAGCCAACGCUGGGCUCCUGACCAUCUCUGACCUGCAGCCUGAGGACGAGGCUGACUAUUACUGUAAUACGUGGCACGAUAGCAGUAAAACUUACACUGUGCUCCAGAGUCACGGGGAAGUGAGACUAAAACCCUCCCUGUGAUCUUUCUGUCUGUGGCUGUCACUCCUGAUCUGCCUGGGACCAAGUCCUACUCAGGGUGUCAUUUGUUGUCACUUCUUCAGUGAGCAACUGUUUUCCCAAGACUCAUGGGUGUGUGAUGUUUUUUCUGAUUCACUGUAGUUAAAAAUUUUGUUUCUUUCUUGUUACUAUCUUCUCAGCCUGCUCAUGUGUACACAGUCCUAAAUCAGGUCUCAGGGCUACAUAAUCCUCCAGGGGCGUGUUAGACAAGGAAGGAGGUGGUUGAACCCUCCUGUGCCCAGCCCAGGGUCUAGGCCUGGAUCAGAGGCCUGAGUGGGCUGAGAACUUCUGAUGGUUCAGGGGGUCAGUAUGCCCCAGGCCCACCUCC